AUGCGGUUUGAUAGCGGAGGCACGCCGGCAGAAGCGCACAGCUCGAUGCCAGAUGGUAAGACGUCGUUGUGUUUCCUUGACUGGCCGCUUGGCUGCAACGAAUUUUGCCUUCGAUCCGGAAAACGAGACGCCUUUGGUGGAUCUGCAACGGUGUCCAGGGAACCUUCCUGUCGGUCUCAGCGGCUUUGUAGAACUCUACAGCGGAAAUCAAUCCAUACGGAUCACUUCGUCGCAUGCGGCCAUGCGUGCAACCCUAAAUUCUCUUAA
Molecule: ribosomal RNA, 267 nt
Filed under: Triticum aestivum (bread wheat)
Lineage: Eukaryota; Viridiplantae; Streptophyta; Magnoliopsida; Poales; Poaceae
Description: partial small subunit ribosomal RNA
Source: RNAcentral